GACCUCGAAUCAGGUAGGACUACCCGCUGAACUUAAGCAUAUCAAUAAG
Molecule: ribosomal RNA, 49 nt
Filed under: Hypocrella narathiwatensis
Lineage: Eukaryota; Fungi; Ascomycota; Sordariomycetes; Hypocreales; Clavicipitaceae
Also listed under: 1 other name
Description: Aschersonia narathiwatensis partial 28S ribosomal RNA
Source: RNAcentral